RNAcentral lists this ribosomal RNA (239 nucleotides) under uncultured bacterium. Its description in RNAcentral is "partial 16S ribosomal RNA". It matches the Rfam family "Bacterial small subunit ribosomal RNA", at positions 100 to 334 of the family's 1533-position model. The record is from RNAcentral.
CCGGCACGGGUGAGUAACACGUAUCCAACCUGCCGUCUACUCUUAGCCAGCCUUCUGAAAGGAAGAUUAAUCCAGGAUGGCAUCAUGAGUUCACAUGUCCGCAUGAUUAAAGGUAUUUUCCGGUAGACGAUGGGGAUGCGUUCCAUUAGAUAGUAGGCGGGGUAACGGCCCACCUAGUCAACGAUGGAUAGGGGUUCUGAGAGGAAGGUCCCCCACAUUGGAACUGAGACACGGUCCAA